CCAGUCAGGAGCAGUAUGCAGAGGGGAAUAUGAGAGGGGCUGCCCCAGGAAAGAAGACAUCUGGUCUGCAACAGAAAAAUGUUGAAGUGAAAACAAAAAAGAACAAACAGAAAACACCUGGAAAUGGAGAUGGUGGCAGUACCAGUGAGACCCCUCAGCCUCCUCGGAAGGAAAGGGCCCAGGUAGAUCCUACUGUUGAAAAUGAGGAAACAUUCAUGAACAGAGUUGAAGUUAAAGUAAAGAUUCCUGAAGAGCUAAAACUAUGGCUUGUUGAUGACUGGGACUUAAUUACCAGGCAAAAACACCUCUUUUAUCUUCCUGCCAUGAAGAAUGUGGAUUCCAUUCUUGAGGAUUAUGCAAAUUACAAGAAAUCUCGUGGAAACACAGAUAAUAAGGAGUAUGCAGUUAAUGAAGUUGUGGCAGGGAUAAAAGAAUACUUCAACGUAAUGUUGGGCACCCAACUACUCUACAAAUUUGAGAGACCACAGUAUGCCGAAAUUCUUGCAGAUCAUCCCGAUGCACCCAUGUCCCAGGUGUAUGAAGCACCACAUCUCCUCAGAUUAUUUAUACGAACUGAAGCAAUGUUGGCCUAUACACCUCUGGAUGAGAAGAGUCUUGCUUUAUUACUCAAUUAUCUUCACGAUUUCCUAAAGUACCUGGCAAAGAAUUCUGCAACUUUGUUUAGUGCCAGCGAUUAUGAAGUGGCUCCUCCUGAGUACCAUCGGAAAGCUGUGUGAGACGUACUCUCACUCACUUAUGUUUGGAUCUCUGUAAACACAUUUUUGUUCUUAGUCUCUCUCUUGUACAAACGAUGGGCUUUGAAGAUGUUAGUGUAUAACAAUUGAUGUUUGUUUUCUGUUUGAUUUUUAAACAGAGAAAAUAAAAGGAGUAAUAGCUCCUUUUUUCUUUUCUUUUCUUUUUUUUUUUCAUUUCAAAUUUGCUGCCAGUGUUUUCAAUGAUGGACAACAGAGGGAUAUGCUGUAGAGUGUUUUAUUACCUAGUUGACCAAGCUGCUUUUGAAUG
Non-coding RNA from Chlorocebus sabaeus (green monkey), 1023 nucleotides. The record is from RefSeq and is a predicted model, not a curated record. Lineage: Eukaryota; Metazoa; Chordata; Mammalia; Primates; Cercopithecidae.